This 93-nucleotide transfer RNA is filed under the name Pseudomonadales bacterium. Its description in RNAcentral is "tRNA-Sec". It matches the Rfam family "Selenocysteine transfer RNA". The record is from RNAcentral. RNAcentral also lists the same sequence under 2 other names. Lineage: Bacteria; Pseudomonadati; Pseudomonadota; Gammaproteobacteria; Pseudomonadales.
GGAAGAGCAUCGUCUCCGGUGGGGCGCGCGGCCUUCAAAGCCGUUGAGGUGCGAAACCGUGCCUGGUGGGUUCGACUCCUACCUCUUCCGCCA